GAGCUGAGUGUUUGGGUCUCCCUUCCUCCGCUGGAAACUUCUCUGUGGCAGAAGGCCCCUUUGUUGGGAGAGGCGAGGCUGGCUACAGCAGCCCUAAAUACCACAAAGUUUUAGAUCUCCUCCCCACCCUCCACCUGCCAUUCAGUAGUCGAUGCUAAAACCACAAGAGGCUGUCUUUUCAUAACACUACACGUUCCCGAUGCUGAAGACCAAAUGGCUUGUUUCGAGACUCUUUGGUUCUGUUUAUUUCGGGUGUCUCGGCUUCUCAGGUAUCCUGAGCACAUAUGUAGAAGGCCCACUGGCCGAGGGGUGAUGCCGGAAAAGUCCCGUCUGCAAGUUGCCAGGUUAGGAGAGAAAGCUUGGCUGGCGCGAAAGGUUGUUUGCGGGCAGGGUUGGGGGUCAGGUGUGGACUCCCAGUUCUGGCCUUUGACCUCCCUGGCUCCGCCGAGCUGUGUGCUCUCAGGUGAGUCACGUAACCACUCUGACCCUCAGUCUCCUCCUCUGGAAAUUGGUAACCAUGCCGUUUGCAGGGUUACUGUGAAGUUCGAGCGUGUGGAUGUAGGGAGUGUGGCGUGUACCCAUAGUAUAUGCUCAGUGAACAUUACUUCCCCAUCUCUUAGGAAAGAAAAGUUGGCUUAGGAAUCAACUUUAACUAAAAUGUUUUUGUUGUGUUAAGAAUGGGCCAAAAGUCACAAAAUUAUUUAGAGAUUGUUUUCACUGAGUUCAAAAAAUCCAGAAGACGAUUUAAUCAACAGUCUGUUUGCCUCCUCACAGCCGCACGGAUGCACUCCUUUCUGAAAAUGCAAAUCAAACAAUUUAAGUUCUCAAGUGUGUUCGAUUCCUUCACUCACUCCUUCACUUCCUCUGCAACCAAGUAGUCAACACCUACUCCGUGUGAGGGCUGGUGGAGAGAGGGGCUUGGGGCUGUGGGAGCCGUAAGCUCAGGUGUGUAGAUCCCUGCAAUUUACUAACGGUGACCUUGGGCAAGUCAUCACCACGCCGCAGCCCUCCGGUGGGCCCUUUGCAUAAUCAGGGUGAUAUUCCCCUUGCAGGGCUGUUGGGGAGGAUUAAAGAUCUCGCGCACAAGGUGCAAGGCGUUUUGGUGCCAUGAGCGAACGGGAGCAGCCACGUUCCUGAGACGUGGUCCCCCUGCCCUUCGGUGACUGACGGUUGUGGUGACAGCCUUGAGAGUGCAUCUCUCCUUCUGCUUCUGGGCGAGGCAGGUGGGAAAGUGGCCUCGGGGGCUCCCCGCAGGAAGCUGACCCAAGGACGUUGCUUUGGGUGGCCCUUUGGGUGGUCUGUUUGUAGCAGACAAUGGAAAACCAAGCAGAUCUCCAAAGUGCUUUUGAAGACGUUCCCUGGGGGGCCUGCAGCACUGCCCAGGAGCCCAGGGGCAGGUUCUUGGGAGCCUGGCUGUCUGGGUGCUGGGCUUGGAUGAGUGGGAGCAGCUGCGGGGAAAGGCAGAACUCGUUCCUCCGGAGUGUGUUUAUCCUGCUUUUCUGACCUCAGAGCCCAACCAUCCUAAUGAUUUUUAAUGACUCUAAUGUGCCUCGCGUCUCCACCGGACCCACUGGCCAUACAACCAAGUGCCUUUUUCCCUUGCGCCCAGCGGAAGGUGGUCAGAUGUCAGCUGGGAUUACACGGUUGGGCUUAUUGUCAGACAAGCUUUAGCCCGGCACUCAGCGAGAGCUCACGGGACGGCUCCAGCCAAUCCUCUCCAUGAAGCCAGGUGGAAAGAGGUGCCAGGGAACUGGUACCAGGUUGCAAGUCAAGAAGACGUGGAAAUGUGGGGUUCCUAGAGGAGAAGUGACACGCCCAGCUUGCAGCCCUGCCCUCCCGGCUUGGGACUGGAUGUGGUGGUGCCACCCAGCAGUGAGGCGUCCCUAUACGUCAGAGCCCGGGUUUGAGCUCUGCUCCUCUCUCCGUGUGGUCUGUGAGGAUUGGGUAAGGCCUGGACAUGGCGGUCAGAGCUCAUGUGAAGAGGCAAAUUACCGAUACAUGAGGAUUUAAGAAGCAAGCCAGCACCUGAAGGACGUGGAGAAAGGUCUGCUGUGCAGCAUCACAUGGGGCUUUGUCCGACCCCCCAGCCCCCCAACGUGUGUGACCACUUGUCUUUUGUUGGUUUUCCAACCCCUGGAAAGUUUUGGAGUUUUCCAGCUCUCCUCCCCUCUCUUUCCCUCCCCUCCUCUUCCUUCCUCCCCUCCCCUCCCCUCCCCCCACUGUCUUCCAGACCAGCAGGUGGCAUGGACUCUGGUGGACAGGGCUCUAAGGUGCUGAGGAGGGACCUCCCCAGUCUCAGCUGAACACAUAUUUGUUUCAGUUCCUGCCUCGGGCCUAGGGCUGGGGUAGACUCUGUCCCUUGUGACACCUCUGCACAGGGGCACAUCCCUGUCCUCAUUUCCCCAAUGAGUUCCCAGAGGCCCGAGGCCCGGGGGGGACCGUGGCGCACCCUCCACCCCCACCCCCCUGCAAACUGCUGCACCCCAAAUGGGUGCGCGUGGACUUGGGGUUCGCUUGGGCUGCAUCUCCUACUUCCUGCUGACCAGCUGGGCCGCCCGACCAGCCGUUGCCCGCAGGCUCACCCUGAUGCUGAGACCUGCCCUGUUGCGUGAGGACAGGGCGAGAGGAGGAGGUGAUUGUUAUCUCUACACAAAUGAGCCGGCCAGUCCGCACUUGUGCUCACCCUUGCCGCAGCAACAGGAAAGACGGGAUCCACACUAAUUGCCCUCACGUCUCUUUCUCUGGUCAGAGCUGUUCCCGACUGUCAGAGUGACACAUGGCUCCCAACACAAGGCCCGUUGCAACACUUUCUAAUUUUUUCCAAAAGAUUUUGAAGGCAGGAAGAGUUUCGGUUCCGGUGAGGUACCCAUGGCUGGCUCUGAUCUCUGAUGCUAGGGGACAAUUCUUGUCCCCGCGAUAUAGGGUUGCACAUCCUUUCCUCUGGCUAUAAGGCCUGUUAUUUUUAACACAGAAUUUCUUCCAGGAUCUUCAAACAUCUUUUCACCAGAUAGUGAUGAUUCAUUUCUGGACAGGACAGCAGAACUAAAAGAUCAAGUUUUGCAGUGCCUCUUGGCCCGACUCCCCUUUUAUUUCUCCAUCUUCUUCCCUUUCUUGCUCACCUACCCCACCCACCUUGCUCAGGCCGUCUCUCCAAGCCCCAAUUAGCAGAUGGGAGGGGCCUCUUGGUCAAGGACGCUGGUUGUGGGUGGUCCAGGUGGUUGAGAACAUGUUCUCUCUGCAUCACCAGCUCUGGGGAGAUGGGCUGUUGACAUACAUGGGAAAAAUCUUCUUAGGAGAUUUCAAAGCACUGGAGACUCACCUGUUGUUGGGAGCUAACAAGAAAAAAGAGGCGAAAUAUCCCAAAGGCAGUAUUUGGACAGGAUCACCCGACCUCACCCCCUCCUAGCAUUCAGAUUCCAUGAUUGCAGGCUUCCCUGGACCAUUGGAGUUGCUGCUGGUGGUGGGGGGGUAGGGAAAGGAACAGCAGGGGGAAGACACAGCUUCCUCUGUGCUAUGUGCUUGUUUUGUGCCCACAGAUUUUUGUCACUCUGAGCCCAUAAUGAUGUUGACCAUGCUAGCAAGCCCACUUGGGGGGCACUAUCUGCUGGGAACUGUUCUCCGCACUUUGCAUGCACUAACUAAUUUAAUUUUCAAAGCCAUCAUUAAGUGGGGACGAUCGGUAUCCAGUUUUACGGUGGGUGGGUUUUGAAGCACAGAGAUGCAAAGUAACCUGAUCAAGCUCACACAGCUCAGAUGAGAGCCGGGAAUCAAACCGAAAUAGUCUGACUCCAGGGUCAGUAUUUUCAGACUGCACGUUACUUAGUAGGGACAGGCUGUCCCAGACUUUUGCGGCUGCUGGGGACAGGGGGCUGUGGACUGGGGGGUGCGUGAAUAGUGCACAUGGAGACCUCUACUCUAACUGAACGUGGUUCUCCCCAGCAAGGGUCCAUGGGCAAGAUCGGGAGCUGGGAUCCGUCUAUCUCAGGCCACGGGUGGUAGGGGGCACAUGUGUUAUUGUGGCACACAAGCGGACCUCCGCCCUGGGGAAAUGACAGAAUGGGGCUCAAGGCAAGAGGUCCACAAGAUGAACCUGAGGUGGAUGGGGACAGACCAUUAUCGGCUGUUGUUACUGUUUCUUAGCGAGGAGCUCUGGUUGUGGAUACUGGCAGUUAUGGUCAUUACACGACAGAUUCUAUUGUGCCGCGGGUGGCUUUCCGUCUCUAUCGGUUUGCCCCACGGAGGCCUGGUUGUGCAAUCCCUGCCCAUGUCCCAGCCAGCGAGCCAGAGAGCGGGUGGGUGGGUAUGUGGAACAGAGGUACUGUGACUACCUGGGCAAAACUUGGCUCUGAGUGUAGGCAAAAGCGAAUGGAGUUCUGUCUGGCCAGGUGUGUUUCCUGAUGUGCAUUUACACGCACUUCUCUUUGUUUCACCUUAUUUCAUUUUAUUUCCCUUCUAUUGAACAGUGUCUCCUCACCACGGUCUUCUGGAGCCCACACUGGUUUCCACUUGCCUGAGGAUGACGCGAAGACUGAGUGGCCCCACGGCCCACCACAGGUCACACAUGUGAAAUGAGGAUCUGCUUUGCCUUUAUUUGCCAGUGGGGUCCCCACUCACUGGUCCUGUCUCCUUAGGGGAGUGGACCCUCCUCUCCCUUUUCCUGCCUUUCUCCUUCAGGUCUUCAGCAGAACGGGGGUGGGGGGUGGGGACAGGAGAAAAAACAGCCUCUCAGACCCCAAAUACCUUCUGCUCCACGAUUUCAAUCACACUCGUGCUGAGUUCCGAACCUGCCUGGCUUUCCAGAGUGCUGAGCCUGGAGCUGAGGAUGGCAGCCCCUUUGGCGUCAAAAUCUGGUUUCCUCUUGGAAAAAGGCUACUUCCUGAUUGCUAGAGAGAGGAACGUCUUUAAAAGGCUCUGCUGUUCCUGUUGGCCUGCACACCAUUGGCCUACGACAUUUGAUGAUUUAAGGGUUGAUGGAUUAAAAACAUGUGGUCUGGGUUUCCCUUGAAUGCAAAUGCAUGUUGAACUUAAGGAUCAGUUAAAAGAAAGAAUAAAAUAAAGAAGGAAGGAAGGAAGGAGGAAGGAAGAGAAGAAAGAAAGAGAAGGAAAAGAAAGAAAAGGAAAAGAAGGAAAGAGAAGGAGAAUAAAGAAAAGGAAAAGAGGGAAAGAAAGAAAAAGGAAGAAAAAGAAAGAAAGGAAAGAAAAAGAAAGAAAAAAGAAAGGAAGAAAAGGAAAAGAAGGAAAGAGAAGGAAAAGAAGGAAAGAAAGAGAAAAAGAAAAAGAAAGAAAAAGAAAGGAAGAAAGAAAAAGAAAGGAAAGAAAAAGGAAGAAAAGGAAAAGAAAGAAAAGAAAGGAAAGAAAAAGAAAAGAAAGGAAGAAAAAGAAAGGAAAAGGAAAAGAAAGAAAAGAAAGGAAAGAGAAAAGAAAGGAAAGAAAAAGAAAGAAAAAGAAAGAAAAAAGAAAGAAAGAAAAGAAAGAAAAAGAAAGAAAAAGAGAAAGAAAAAAAAAAAGAAAGAGAAAGAAAGAAAGAAAGAAAGAAAGAAAGAAAGAAAAAGAAAGAAAGGAAAAGGAAAGAAGAAAGGAAGAAAGUCAAAGAAACAGUCCAGGUUUUUCAUAAUGCCCUGACUUUGAAAAAUAGGCCAAGGUUUUUGCAGAGUACAGGCUCCACGUGGGGCCUCGCGGGCACUCUGGAAAAGUCUUCAGUUGGCCUGGAGGCAGCAGGGACUUGUGUGGGCCCCGAUCCCUCCCGGCUCUGGCCCCAGUGUGGCCUCGUGCAGCUCGGCACCCUGGGGAGACCUCAAGUUCGAGGAGAGAAAUAAAGCUACAACUUCCUGUCUUCCGGAGACCCCCUUCCACCCUAAUUUUGCCCAAAGUAUAUCACUCUCCGGCCAGGCAGCAUCAACCGAGCGUCUAACGUGCGCCGGUGUCCCCGGUGGGUUCCGCGAUGAGGUCCCAGCGCCUGUUCACGGUCCUCCCGCUCUGACCGAGCAGCUCCCGGUUCCAGGCUUUCCACCUGCGCCCUCCCCGACUCCUCCAGCCCGCGGGCCCUUUCGCUGCCUCUGGCCGCCCCAAUCGUAUCCGUUCACACCCACGGUGUUCCCUCCAGGGCUGUGCUCCGUCAACCCCCCGGGGGCGACGCUGAAGGGCUCACAGAGAGCCGGGCCUCGUCGGGAUCCCGGGCGCCGAUGGAAUCCACGGCUGCCCCCCUUUGGACUCCACACGUGGCGCUGAGCGGAAGGCCGUUGGCGUUGGCUCCCUCGGCUUGGCUCCGCCCCCUCCGUUUUGGAAGGUUUGCAGGCCCCUGCCCUCUCAUGCUCUGUUUACUGCAGGCAAUGAUUUGAGCUUAAUGGAAUGGGGAAGGGAUUCCGCUUUCAUGUGGUCGGGAGACCAAGGCCCACACAGAUCCCCGUGCAGUUUUACGGCCAGGCCGGGGGGGUUGGUAAAUUUGUCGAGGAGUGCCCUGCUCCCAACAGCUCGCUGGGAACAGGGCCUAUAAAUAGCUCCUGCCAGUCAAGGCAUAACGAUUUCAAUCUUCCUACUGUAUAAAUAAACAGUAUUGUUCAGGAAUUCUUGGCCGCAAUUUUGGCCCGCGCGUCCCGAAGAUGAUCCAGCUGGAAUUUUCGGCAAAGGCAAAGGAGCUGGCAUG
This is a long non-coding RNA of Acinonyx jubatus (cheetah), 6643 nucleotides long. RefSeq lists it as uncharacterized. The transcript is spliced from 4 exons. Lineage: Eukaryota; Metazoa; Chordata; Mammalia; Carnivora; Felidae. The record is from RefSeq and is a predicted model, not a curated record.